Molecule: long non-coding RNA, 207 nt
Filed under: Nicotiana benthamiana
Lineage: Eukaryota; Viridiplantae; Streptophyta; Magnoliopsida; Solanales; Solanaceae
Description: long non-coding RNA (NBEN_LNC028658)
Source: RNAcentral
UCGUCUAAGCCCGCUUGCGGCGCAUAGGCGCUGAUGACGUUGAGGACGCAACCCCCAAUAACCAACUUAAUAGACAUUAACCUAUCAUUCACUCGUCUAACCUCGACUACGGACUCCCUUAGAUCCCUAUCAACCAAGAUGCCCACACCAUUCUUACCUCUCACGACCGCAGAAUACCACAGCUUAAACCCGUCUGCAUUCCUCGCC